This is a non-coding RNA of Vicugna pacos (alpaca), 2860 nucleotides long. The record is from RefSeq and is a predicted model, not a curated record. Lineage: Eukaryota; Metazoa; Chordata; Mammalia; Artiodactyla; Camelidae.
CGGGCGCUCGCGUCUCGGCCUCCUCUCGAGCUCUGGACAGGCGGGAGCGGGGUGAGGCUACAGCGCGCCGGGGUGCCAGCAGGGGGUGCGCGCGCCUCACCACUGGCCCUUCCAGCCUACUAAUUCCUUGCGGAUGUUGUGAGUUGUCAGUGGGGGAAGGUGCUUUUACCUUGCACUUCUGACUCAGUAAAGAGUUAAGUGGCUUCAGAAACUAGAAGACCGGACUCCUGCUUGACUGAGGGAUAAAAUGAACCAUGGAAAGAACAAUGAUGGCAAAUUUCCAAAGUUACAUACCAAGUUGGUGUCAGAAAGGCCUUUGGACUCGGACUGGAGCCAGACCAUCAGUUCUCCUGGGUCUCCAGCUGGCUGACUGCAGAUCUUGGAACUUCUCAGCCUCCAUAAUCAGGUGAACCAACUCCUUCUAGUAAAUCUCUAUAUAUUGGUUCUGUUUCUCUGGAGAACACAGACUGACAGAGUAUACUUAGAAAUCUCCUUAAUUCUUUUCAAUGACUAGAUUGCUGUCCAAAUGAUGAACAUAGCAUCAUUUAAUCAUCUUCAUUGAUACGCCAUUAAGCUGUUUCCAGUUUUCCAGUCUUUUUCUGACCAAUGUAUCAGUAAAUAUCUGACACAUACAUCUUUGUGCACAUAUGCUGCUAUAACUGAAGACCAAGGAAUGUGGCUUAUGAAUCUUAAAGGUGACAGAUAUGUAUUUAUCUAUGCAUGACUUGUGUAACAUCAUAUGCCUUAGAAUGCAAUUUCCCAAAAGGAAAACUCUGUCAUAUGUGUGUUCCGUACCAUGUCAGGCAUGUUGUAGCUCCUUAACAUAUAUUUUAAGACAAUAAUACUUUGCAGAAUAGCCAGUCAAUUCAUAUAACAUAGCUAGCUAAAUACCAGUAGGGACAUUCUCUUUAAGUGGGUCUCUCAAACCACAUAAACAGAAAGAACAUUUUCCGUAAAUCCAAGGAUGUUGGCUAUUCUUUACAGGAAACCAAGUGAGUCUCCUCAAGCUUCUUCUUGUAACAAACACUCACUAGAAUUAUGAUUUUGGAAUCAUUUCCAUUGCAAAUCCCCUCUUUUCCACACCCCUUUAAAAGGCAGCUGCAAUAUUUGGCAUCUAACCAAGGCAUGCUGCACUGACAAUUCUCCAAAUUUUAUUUACAUUUUAUGUGCAGUAUGUUCAAACUCUCACUUUCCCAGGUGCCAGAUGCUGGUUUGGACACACUCCAGUGGAAAGUGCUUUCUUGUAAAAUAAAAAAGGAAAAUGCUGAACAAACCACUUCUUUAUAAGACUUGCACCUAGUAUACCAAAGUUAAGUACCCUAAUAAUGACUUCACUAUUUCCCCAAAAUUGCAAUUCCCCCCAAUUCCCUCCUUACCUACCUCCACACCAAAUACUUUUCCUUUGGCCUCCAUAUGAUGCUGACAGUCCUCUUAGACACCUCUUCAGUGUCCAUUUGAAAACAUCAGGGUGUAGGACUUUAUCUAUCUGAAAUGCUUUAGAUGGUAUCUAGUGUAACCCAUCCAUAGGUGUUUCAAAUAUGAUUUGGAUGAAAAGAUAAAGCAUCUUAACCCAUUUUCAGUAUUUUAGAAGAUAUCUAACAACUUAACGUCUGCUAUGUUAACAGCUUUUACAUGUUUUCACUAACAAGUGAUGCUUUCCAUGUGUUUGAUGGUAAUACUGUCCCUGCAGUGGUACAGAACUUUGGCAUGACAUUAAGAAUUAACUUGGAAUUUGCCUUUGUGAUAGGGUUCUUGCCUGCCUAAAAGCAAUCCCCAAUCCCCAGAUACUACUUAUGAAACAAGCAGCAGUGUUAGGUGAAUAUUAAGACAGUGAGUAUCAUUUUUAGAGACUGCCAAUCCAUUAUCGUGUUAAACUACUCUCCUUUAGCCAGUUUAUGUGGUAACAUUUCACUGAGCUGAAAACCAGUAUAAUUCCUUGUUCUAUCCCAGAAAAAUUGAGAAUCUUAGGCAUGAAAAUUUACAUUUGUGCCAAAGGCUUGUGGUUAUAUUCUGAGGUUUAAAUGAACUCUUGUAAUGCAUGCUAUGAUUUGUGUGUGUGUAUGUUUGUGUGUGGAAAGCCGCUGUAAAAUAACAAAAAUACUCCGCUUGGCUGCCAGAUUUUUCUUUUUCACUUUUUCCAGUAGAUGGCGGUAGAUACCCAAGAAAUAACUUCCAAAGAGCCGGUGGAGGGCGGUGAAAGGGGUGUAUUUUCCUUUCACUGUUAGUCACUGAGCUGACACCCACUGUAGUUCUGUUGCGGGUGGGCAUGGUAUACAUUUUAUUUUUUCGUGUGUGUGUGUGUGUGUGUUUGGUGGAGGGGAGAACGGAAGAUUUGCUACAGACCACCUGUUUAAUCCAGGUUCUCUCUAAGCAUAGGAUAGCAUCUUGCCAGCUGGAAAAAAAAAUCCCUAGAAUUUUUUUCAACUCAGUAGACUUGAUAUAAGCUAUGGAACUGAUUCAGGAGAGCAGCCAGCAUCAGUUUAGAGAUGCCGCGGCAUCUGUUGCCUACAUUCGUGGAGAUGGAAGAGACCCACUCGCUGGUGAGGAACGGCAGCCGCGACCUGGGGACGGAAAUCCCACAGUGCGACCUGCGACCAGACUACAAAUACUUAUGGAUUCCCUCCCGUGUGCCUAGCACUAAAUCAGAAGCUACACAAGAAAUAUGAGGUGGCGUUCUCUAGUUCUCUUGUAGUAGAGAACACAAAACAUACACACAGAGGGACCUAGCCUGAAGUUACAAUUGUAUGGUGAAGGUGGUAAAUCCUACAAGCAUUAUGAGAUUAAUGUGGUACGAAAUGGCCAAAGGGUUAGGCUGUGUGUAGGGAGAGAGAGGAGGAGGGGUAGGAACAAGGAGGGGUAC